Molecule: ribosomal RNA, 463 nt
Filed under: uncultured bacterium
Lineage: Bacteria
Description: partial 16S ribosomal RNA
Rfam family: Bacterial small subunit ribosomal RNA
Source: RNAcentral
GACGAACGCUGGCGGCGUGCUUAACACAUGCAAGUCGAGCGGUAAGGCCCUUCGGGGUACCCGAGCGGCGAACGGGUGAGUAACACGUGAGUAAUCUGCCCAUCACUUCGGGAUAACUCCGGGAAACCGGUGCUAAUACCGAAUAUGACCACUUCAGGCAUCUGAUGGUGGUGGAAAGUUCCGGCGGUGAUGGAUGAGCUCGCGGCCUAUCAGCUUGUUGGUGGGGUAGUGGCCUACCAAGGCUUCGACGGGUAGCCGGCCUGAGAGGGUGACCGGCCACACUGGGACUGAGACACGGCCCAGACUCCUACGGGAGGCAGCAGUGGGGAAUAUUGGACAAUGGGCGAAAGCCUGAUCCAGCAACGCCGCGUGAGGGAUGACGGCCUUCGGGUUGUAAACCUCUUUCAGCAGGGACGAAGCGCAAGUGACGGUACCUGCAGAAGAAGCACCGGCCAACUACGUG